This is a long non-coding RNA of Thalassophryne amazonica, 153 nucleotides long. RefSeq lists it as uncharacterized. The record is from RefSeq and is a predicted model, not a curated record. NCBI's taxonomy places the organism in Eukaryota, Metazoa, Chordata, Actinopteri, Batrachoidiformes, Batrachoididae. The transcript has 3 exons.
CUGAAUCUAUCACUCUAUUAGCUAUUGAAAAUAAAUGCCUAUCCUUAGUCUCCUGUUUCCAGCAUUUUUGCCUUUGUAAGUUAAUUUCCCUCCAUUCAAUACACUUGCCCUCUGCUUUGGAAAGCUUGAUACUGAUGUCUGUUCUCCUUUGUC